Molecule: transfer RNA, 84 nt
Filed under: Elusimicrobiales bacterium
Lineage: Bacteria; Pseudomonadati; Elusimicrobiota; Elusimicrobia; Elusimicrobiales
Description: tRNA-Tyr
Rfam family: tRNA
About the family: Transfer RNA (tRNA) molecules are approximately 80 nucleotides in length.
Source: RNAcentral
GGGGAGGUAAACUGUAAUUGGUAGCAGACCAAACUGUAAAUUUGGCACCUUCGGGUUCUGAUGGUUCAAGUCCAUCUCUCCUCA